This 468-nucleotide ribosomal RNA is filed under the name uncultured bacterium. RNAcentral's name for it is "partial 16S ribosomal RNA". It matches the Rfam family "Bacterial small subunit ribosomal RNA", at positions 28 to 507 of the family's 1533-position model. The record is from RNAcentral.
GACGAACGCUGGCGGCGUGCUUAACACAUGCAAGUCGAACGGAAAGGCCCUGCUUUUGUGGGGUGCUCGAGUGGCGAACGGGUGAGUAACACGUGAGUAACCUGCCCUUGACUUUGGGAUAACUUCAGGAAACUGGGGCUAAUACCGGAUAGGAGCUCCUGCUGCAUGGUGGGGGUUGGAAAGUUUCGGCGGUUGGGGAUGGACUCGCGGCUUAUCAGCUUGUUGGUGGGGUAGUGGCUUACCAAGGCUUUGACGGGUAGCCGGCCUGAGAGGGUGACCGGCCACAUUGGGACUGAGAUACGGCCCAGACUCCUACGGGAGGCAGCAGUGGGGAAUAUUGCACAAUGGGUGGAAGCCUGACGCAGCAACGCCGCGUGCGGGAUGACGGCCUUCGGGUUGUAAACCGCUUUCGCCUGUGACGAAGCGUGAGUGACGGUAAUGGGUAAAGAAGCACCGGCUAACUACGUG